CUGUGAAGCGGAGCAAAUCUCAAAAACCGGUCCCAGUUCGGAUUGUAGGCUGCAACUCGCCUACAUGAAGUCGGAGUUGCUAGUAAUCGCGGAUCAGAAUGCCGCGGUGAAUGCGUUCCCGGGUCUUGUACACACCGCCCGUCACACCAUGGAAGUUGGGGGCGCCCGAAGUUGCCUAAGAAAUAAGGUACCUAAGGCGAAACCAAUGACUGGGGUGAAGUCGUAACAAGGUAUC
Molecule: ribosomal RNA, 235 nt
Filed under: uncultured bacterium
Lineage: Bacteria
Description: partial 16S ribosomal RNA
Rfam family: Bacterial small subunit ribosomal RNA
Source: RNAcentral